Molecule: ribosomal RNA, 460 nt
Filed under: uncultured bacterium
Lineage: Bacteria
Description: partial 16S ribosomal RNA
Rfam family: Bacterial small subunit ribosomal RNA
Source: RNAcentral
CCUACGGGUGGCAGCAGUGAGGAAUAUUGGUCAAUGGGCGGAAGCCUGAACCAGCCAAGUAGCGUGCAGGAUGGCGGCCCUACGGGUUGUAAACUGCUUUUAUACGGGCAUAACUCGCCUUACGUGUAGGGCUUUGCAUGUACCGUAUGAAUGAGGACAGGCUAAUUCCGUGCCAGCAGCCGCGGUAAUACGGAAGGUCCGGGCGUUAUCCGGAUUUAUGGGGUUUAAAGGGAGCGUAGGCCGCAUGUCAAGCGUGCUGUGAAAUGUCCGGGCUCAACCCGCGACUUGCAGCGCGAACUGGCGUGCUUGAGUCCGCGGAAAGCAGGCGGAAUUCGUAGUGUAGCGGUGAAAUGCUUAGAUAUGACGAAGAACCCCGAUUGCGAAGGCAGCUUGCUGCAGCGGAACUGACGCUGAGGCUCGAAAGCGCGGGUAUCGAACAGGAUUAGAUACCCGAGUAGUC